This 1557-nucleotide long non-coding RNA is filed under the name Felis catus (domestic cat). RNAcentral describes it as "lncRNA (ENSFCAG00000050110.1)". Lineage: Eukaryota; Metazoa; Chordata; Mammalia; Carnivora; Felidae. The record is from RNAcentral.
CGCUGUGUUUGAGAGCCAACAAAACUCAACCUCUGCCCCGCCGUCCUCCUCCCUGGUGCUCCCAGCGGGGAAAUACAUCUACCUCAUUGCCUCUUGUUCCAGACGCCUCUGUAAUUCUGAGCAGCAUACACAGCGUCUCAGAUGCUGAAGCCCCGAAUCGGGCUGUUCCUGGGUUUCUAACUCCCUCCUGUGGAUUUGCUGCUGUGACCUUCUGAACGACCUUGCCCAGACUCUGCUGCUUGUUAACGCUUUACCAGGUGGAACCACACCGAUCCGUAGGGUCACGCAUGCAGCGGUGCCCCGGGAGGAACAGGGUCUCAGCCUUCCAAAUCCAGGAUUUACGUGUUUAACUUUUCUCACAGUGAAACAUCCUGUACGGUUCUGGUGUUUCCUCUGCCGUUUGCAAUUUCUUAGAUGGAUGGCGGUAACUAGGUAACUGUCAAGAAAAAAAACAGCGACUCGUUUAUUGCUUCAAAAUAUGCAACCAAAGCCAAGAGUACGAAAUGCGUUCUUAAGAUGAAUAGGUCAGUUAAGUUGUGCUUCCCAACUCGAUAAGGGCUAUAAUUAAUUUUUUUAAAGUUGUGCUACAGUGCUCUUACGCACUUACGCGAGCGUAGACUUUGAGCGCAUAAAAUGCGUCAGUGGCCUUGCCAGAUGACAAGGAUGAAUCGUGAGCAACAACAGAGAAAGGUGCAUAUCUUCGUGAAGCUCAGGGUCCAGUGGGACGGGCCGGCGUUGGUGACGUCAUCGAGGGAUGAGAUGUCACACUGACUGUGACAGGCCACACGGAAAAGAAUGCCUGGGUCAGCGGUGGCUUUUCGGAGUGAUCCGGGAGGUCACGCCUGUGGGGAUCUCCUUUUAGAAGCUUCGAGUUUCAUCUCGCGUUGGAUUCUCCUGCUUUAUUUCCCACUGGGCCUCUCCAGCAGAUGCCUGUCUGCAGUCUUGGAGGAAUGGAAACGACUGUCCUUCCAGUUACGCAGCUAACACAUACGUACGGGGAAAAUUCAGGUGACGCAGAAAAUCAAAGAGAAGAAAUUAAAAAUCGUUAAAAAAAAAACUUGCCGCCGCUGUUACGGUUCGCUAAACCUCCUUUCCCCAUCUCUCUUUGUGCAAGCACAGACCUACUCUUUUAAACCUUGUUAAAGAACAAUUGACAAAUGCAAUUGUAUAUAUUUAGUGUGCAGUGUGGUGACUGGAUAUACAUGUCCGCUGGGAGGGAUUGCCAAGACCAAAAGAAUGAGCACAUCCAUCACCUCACCUCGCUGACGUGUGUGUGAGUGUGCGUGUAAGUGGUGUGGACACGUAAGGUCUACGCCCAGCAAUUUCCAGUAUAUGAUACCGAAUUAUUAGCCAUGAUCCCCACGCUGUACACUAGGUCCUCAGAACUUCUUCUUCCGACUGAACAUUUGUAUCCUUUUAACUGUAGCUCCCCAUUUAUGCUCCUUCCCACCCCUGAAACCACGAUUCGGUUCUGUUUCUGUGACCUUUUUUCUUGAUUCCACAUGUAAGUGAUAUCAUACAGCCUUUGCCUUUCUCUGUCUGGCUUAUUUCAUGUAG